GCCUGGUUCGGAUUGGGGUCUGCAACUCGACCCCAUGAAGGCGGAGUCGCUAGUAAUCGCAGAUCAGCAACGCUGCGGUGAAUACGUUCCCGGGCCUUGUACACACCGCCCGUCACACCACGAAAGUGGGUAACACCCGAAGCCGGUGGCCCAACCCCUUGGGGAGGGAGCCGUCGAAGGUGGGAUCCGCGAUUGGGGUGAAGUCGUAACAAGGUAGCCGUACCGGAAGGUGCGGCUGGAUCACCUCCUUU
RNAcentral lists this ribosomal RNA (251 nucleotides) under Actinomycetota bacterium. RNAcentral describes it as "partial 16S ribosomal RNA". It matches the Rfam family "Bacterial small subunit ribosomal RNA", at positions 1286 to 1533 of the family's 1533-position model. The record is from RNAcentral. Lineage: Bacteria; Bacillati; Actinomycetota.